Molecule: ribosomal RNA, 812 nt
Filed under: uncultured bacterium
Lineage: Bacteria
Description: bacterial SSU rRNA
Rfam family: Bacterial small subunit ribosomal RNA
Source: RNAcentral
AGAGUUUGAUCCUGGCUCAGAAUAAACGUUGGCGGCGUGCUUAACACAUGCAAGUCGCGCGAGAAAGCUCCUUCGGGAGUGUGUACAGCGGCGGACGGGUGCGUAACACGUGAGAAUUUCCCCUUCAGUGAGGAAUACCCACGAGAAAUUGUGGUUAAUACUGCAUACGUUCCUACGGGAAGAAAGGUGGCUUUAUGCUGCCGCUGAAGGAUAAGCUUGCGGGCUAUUAGCUAGUUGGUAGGGUAAAGGCCUACCAAGGCGAUGAUGGCUAGCCGGCCUGAGAGGGUGUACGGCCACAUUGGGACUGAGAUACGGCCCAAACUCCUACGGGAGGCAGCAGUGAGGAAUAUUGCGCAAUGGGCGAAAGCCUGACGCAGCGACGCCGCGUGAAGGAUGAAGGUCUUCGGAUUGUAAACUUCUGUUAAGUGGGAAGAAAGACCAGUCCCUAAUAUGGAUUGGAGAUGACGGUACCACUAGAGAAAGCACCGGCUAACUUCGUGCCAGCAGCCGCGGUAAUACGAAGGGUGCAAACGUUAUUCGGAAUCACUGGGCGUAAAGGGUGUGUAGACGGCAUACUAAGUUCGUUGUUUAAUCUUCCGGCCUAACCGGAAGCUCGCGAUGGAAACUGGUAAGCUUGAGGAUGGAAGAGAGAAGUGGAAUUCUCGGAGUAGCGGUAAAAUGCGUAGAUCUCGAGAGGAACACCGAUGGCGAAGGCAGCUUCUUGGUCCACUCCUGACGUUGAGACACGAAAGCGUGGGUAGCAAACAGGAUUAGAUACCCUGGUAGUCCACGCUGUAAACGAUGAUCACUGG